This 254-nucleotide ribosomal RNA is filed under the name uncultured bacterium. Its description in RNAcentral is "partial 16S ribosomal RNA". It matches the Rfam family "Bacterial small subunit ribosomal RNA", at positions 524 to 776 of the family's 1533-position model. The record is from RNAcentral.
UACGUAGGGGGCAAGCGUUGUCCGGAAUCAUUGGGCGUAAAGCGCGUGUAGGCGGCUUGGUAAGUCCGCUCUGAAAGCCCGGGGCUCAACCCCGGGAGGCGGGUGGAUACUGUCAAGCUCGAGUCCGGAAGAGGCGAGUGGAAUUCCUGGUGUAGCGGUGAAAUGCGCAGAUAAUCAGGAGGAACACCAAUGGCGAAGGCAGCUCGCUGGGACGUGACUGACGCUGAGACGCGAAAGCGUGGGGAGCAAACAGG